This 301-nucleotide ribosomal RNA is filed under the name uncultured bacterium. RNAcentral describes it as "partial 16S ribosomal RNA". It matches the Rfam family "Bacterial small subunit ribosomal RNA", at positions 509 to 807 of the family's 1533-position model. The record is from RNAcentral.
CAGUCGCCACGGUAAUACAGAGGGUGCGAGCGUUAAUCGGAUUUACUGGGCGUAAAGCGUGCGUAGGCGGCUUUUUAAGUCGGAUGUGAAAUCCCUGAGCUUAACUUAGGAAUUGCAUUCGUUACUGGGAAGCUAGAGUAUGGGAGAGGAUGGUAGAAUUCCAGGUGUAGCGGUGAAAUGCGUAGAGAUCUGGAGGAAUACCGAUGGCGAAGGCAGCCAUCUGGCCUAAUACUGACGCUGAGGUACGAAAGCAUGGGGAGCAAACAGGAUUAGAUACCCCCGUAGUCCCUGUCUCUUAUAC